RNAcentral lists this ribosomal RNA (223 nucleotides) under uncultured bacterium. RNAcentral describes it as "partial 16S ribosomal RNA". It matches the Rfam family "Bacterial small subunit ribosomal RNA", at positions 111 to 334 of the family's 1533-position model. The record is from RNAcentral.
UAACGCGUGGGUAACCUGCCUCACACAGGGGGAUAACAGUUGGAGACGGCUGCUAAUACCGCAUAAGCGCACAGUACCGCAUGGUACAGUGUGAAAAACUCCGGUGGUGUGAGAUGGACCCGCGUCUGAUUAGCUAGUUGGCAGGGCAACGGCCUACCAAGGCGACGAUCAGUAGCCGACCUGAGAGGGUGACCGGCCACAUUGGGACUGAGACACGGCCCAA